CAAACGACUCUCGGGAACGGAUAUCUCUGCUCACGCAUCGAUGAAGAACGUAGCAAAAUGCGAUACUUGGUGUGAAUUGCAGAAUCCCGUGAACCAUCGAGUUUUUGAACGCAAGUUGCGCCCGAAGCCUUUUGGCCGAGGGCACGUCUGCCUGGGCGUCACGC
This 164-nucleotide ribosomal RNA is filed under the name Allardia tridactylites. RNAcentral describes it as "5.8S ribosomal RNA". It matches the Rfam family "5.8S ribosomal RNA". Rfam says of the family: 5.8S ribosomal RNA (5.8S rRNA) is a component of the large subunit of the eukaryotic ribosome. It is transcribed by RNA polymerase I as part of the 45S precursor that also contains 18S and 28S rRNA. Lineage: Eukaryota; Viridiplantae; Streptophyta; Magnoliopsida; Asterales; Asteraceae. The record is from RNAcentral.